RNAcentral lists this ribosomal RNA (1418 nucleotides) under Vibrio parahaemolyticus. RNAcentral describes it as "partial 23S ribosomal RNA". It matches the Rfam family "Bacterial large subunit ribosomal RNA", at positions 1 to 1471 of the family's 2925-position model. Lineage: Bacteria; Pseudomonadati; Pseudomonadota; Gammaproteobacteria; Vibrionales; Vibrionaceae. The record is from RNAcentral.
GUUGUAUGGUUAAGUGACUAAGCGUACACGGUGGAUGCCUUGGCAGUCAGAGGCGAUGAAAGACGUAGUAACUUGCGAUAAGCCCAGAUUAGGUAGUAACAACCAUUUGAGUCUGGGAUUUCUGAAUGGGGAAACCCACUUACAUAAGUAAGUAUCAUUAACUGAAUACAUAGGUUAAUGAGGCGAACCGGGGGAACUGAAACAUCUAAGUACCCCGAGGAAAAGAAAUCAACCGAGAUUCCGAAAGUAGCGGCGAGCGAAAUUGGACUAGCCCUUAAGCUUUACACGCGUUAGACGAACGGUCUGGAAAGUCCGACGAUACAGGGUGAUAGUCCCGUAGUUGACGACGUGUGUUCAGUGAAAUCGAGUAGGGCGGGACACGUGAUAUCCUGUCUGAAUAUGGGGGGACCAUCCUCCAAGGCUAAAUACUACUGACUGACCGAUAGUGAACCAGUACCGUGAGGGAAAGGCGAAAAGAACCCCUGUGAGGGGAGUGAAAUAGAACCUGAAACCGUGUACGUACAAGCAGUAGGAGCAGGCUUUGUCCUGUGACUGCGUACCUUUUGUAUAAUGGGUCAGCGACUUAUAUUCAGUGGCAAGGUUAACCAUCUAGGGGAGCCGUAGGGAAACCGAGUCUUAACUGGGCGUUCAGUCUCUGGAUAUAGACCCGAAACCAGGUGAUCUAGCCAUGGGCAGGUUGAAGGUUGAGUAACAUCAACUGGAGGACCGAACCGACUAAUGUUGAAAAAUUAGCGGAUGACUUGUGGCUAGGGGUGAAAGGCCAAUCAAACCUGGAGAUAGCUGGUUCUCCCCGAAAGCUAUUUAGGUAGCGCCUCGGACGAAUACUACUGGGGGUAGAGCACUGUUAAGGCUAGGGGGUCAUCCCGACUUACCAACCCUUUGCAAACUCCGAAUACCAGUAAGUACUAUCCGGGAGACACACGGCGGGUGCUAACGUCCGUCGUGGAGAGGGAAACAACCCAGACCGCCAGCUAAGGUCCCAAAUUACUACUAAGUGGGAAACGAUGUGGGAAGGCUCAGACAGCCAGGAUGUUGGCUUAGAAGCAGCCAUCAUUUAAAGAAAGCGUAAUAGCUCACUGGUCGAGUCGGCCUGCGCGGAAGAUGUAACGGGGCUAAGUAGUAAACCGAAGCUGCGGCAAUGUGCUUUUGCACAUUGGGUAGGGGAGCGUUCUGUAAGCGGUUGAAGGUGUGUGGUAACGCAUGCUGGACGUAUCAGAAGUGCGAAUGCUGACAUGAGUAACGAUAAAGGGGGUGAAAAACCUCCUCGCCGGAAGACCAAGGGUUCCUGUCCAACGUUAAUCGGGGCAGGGUAAGUCGACCCCUAAGGCGAGGCCGAAAGGCGUAGUCGAUGGGAAACGGGUUAAUAUUCCCGUACUUCUUACAAUUGCGAUGGGGGG